RNAcentral lists this ribosomal RNA (119 nucleotides) under Pteropus alecto (black flying fox). Lineage: Eukaryota; Metazoa; Chordata; Mammalia; Chiroptera; Pteropodidae. The record is from RNAcentral.
GUCUAUGGCCAUGCCACCCCGAACAAGCCCGAUCUCGUCUGAUCUCGGAAGCUAAGCAGGGUUGGGUCUGGUUAGUACUUGAAUGGGAGACCACCUAGGAAGACCAGGUGCUGUAGGCA